UGGAAAUCUUCUCCUAAUCUCCUUCCCGUCAAGCCGCAGCAGAGAAAAGCAAAUCGGAAACCAUUCUUGAGUUCUUUUUUCCCCAAUUCCUUUCGCUCAAUUCCUUCCCAAAAGCUCUCCACGCAGGCACCGACGCACGUUCCAAUUUCAGUAAAUAUUUUUGAUCGACAACUCUGCUAUGUGAUCUAUGAAGUCCCGAGUACACCGCAGGUACUGGCUUUUUUUUUUUUUUGCUUAUUUAUUACACGCGCAAAGGAGUUUAAUUUUCCAAUUUUGGGUUAGUUUAAUUUUCUAGUUUUUUUCCUGAUAAUAGAUUCUUUGUUGAGUGAGGUUUAAAAAAUUGGAAAUCAAAUUGUUUCAUGAAGUAGACAUUAGACUAAUAGUUUAAUUUUCUAGUUUUGGGUUACUUGUUGGUAGAUUCAUUCCGUGCUCUUUACUUUGAAUGAUCUGAUUGAUUGGAAAAUUUAUUAUGUAUUUAUGCAAAUUGUAGAGACUCAAUUGGUUUAGAUUUGAUUAAUUGACAAUUGUUUAGGGAACAUCAUAAUUAUUGAAAAAGUUUACAUUAUUGCAACGUUUUCAAAAUAUGAGACCAUGUAG
Molecule: long non-coding RNA, 597 nt
Filed under: Olea europaea subsp. europaea
Lineage: Eukaryota; Viridiplantae; Streptophyta; Magnoliopsida; Lamiales; Oleaceae
Source: RNAcentral